ACGCACGCUGGCGGCGUGCUUCACACCUGCAAGUCGAACGGUGAAGCGCCUUCCUUUUUGGUGGGUGUGGAUGAGUGGCGAACGGGUGAGUAACACGUGAGUAACCUGCCCCCUUCUUCUGGAUAACCGCAUGAAAGUGUGGCUAAUACGGGAUAUUCUGGGUCUGUCGCAUGAUGGGUCUGGGAAAGAUAUUGUUUCGGUGGGGGAUGGGCUCGCGGCCUAUCAGCUUGUUGGUGGGGUGAUGGCCUACCAAGGCGGUGACGGGUAGCCGGCCUGAGAGGGUGGACGGUCACACUGGGACUGAGACACGGCCCAGACUCCUACGGGAGGCAGCAGUGGGGAAUAUUGCACAAUGGGCGCAAGCCUGAUGCAGCGACGCCGCGUGAGGGAUGGAGGCCUUCGGGUUGUGAACCUCUUUCGCCAGUGAAGCAGGCCUGCCUCGUUUGUGGGUGGGUUGACGGUAGCUGGAUAAGAAGCGCCGGCUAACUACG
Molecule: ribosomal RNA, 491 nt
Filed under: uncultured bacterium
Lineage: Bacteria
Description: partial 16S ribosomal RNA
Rfam family: Bacterial small subunit ribosomal RNA
Source: RNAcentral